GACGAACGCUGGCGGCGUGCUUAACACAUGCAAGUCGAACGGAAAGGCCCUGCUUUUGUGGGGUGCUCGAGUGGCGAACGGGUGAGUAACACGUGAGUAACCUGCCCUUGACUUUGGGAUAACUUCAGGAAACUGGGGCUAAUACCGGAUAGGAGCUCCUGCUGCAUGGUGGGGGGUGGAAAGUUUCGGCGGUUGGGGAUGGACUCGCGGCUUAUCAGCUUGUUGGUGGGGUAGUGGCUUACCAAGGCUUUGACGGGUAGCCGGCCUGAGAGGGUGACCGGCGACCUUGGGACUGAGAUACGGCCCAGACUCCUACGGGAGGCAGCAGUGGGGAAUAUUGCACAAUGGGCGGAAGCCUGAUGCAGCAACGCCGCGUGCGGGAUGACGGCCUUCGGGUUGUAAACCGCUUUCGCCUGUGACGAAGCGUGAGUGACGGUAAUGGGUAAAGAAGCACCGGCUAACUACGUG
This 468-nucleotide ribosomal RNA is filed under the name uncultured bacterium. RNAcentral's name for it is "partial 16S ribosomal RNA". It matches the Rfam family "Bacterial small subunit ribosomal RNA", at positions 28 to 507 of the family's 1533-position model. The record is from RNAcentral.